AACACUGUUAACCUGCGGUACCUGCGGAAGGAUCAUUACAAGUGACCCCGGUUUACCACCGGGAUGUUCAUAACCCUUUGUUGUCCGACUCUGUUGCCUCCGGGGCGACCCUGCCUUCGGGCGGGGGCUCCGGGUGGACACUUCAAACUCUUGCGUAACUUUGCAGUCUGAGUAAACUUAAUUAAUAAAUUAAAACUUUCAACAAUGGAUCU
This 212-nucleotide unclassified non-coding RNA is filed under the name soil metagenome. Its description in RNAcentral is "partial contains 5.8S ribosomal RNA, internal transcribed spacer 2, and large subunit ribosomal RNA". The record is from RNAcentral.